This 247-nucleotide long non-coding RNA is filed under the name Brassica rapa (field mustard). RNAcentral's name for it is "long non-coding RNA (BRAP_LNC002524)". The record is from RNAcentral. Lineage: Eukaryota; Viridiplantae; Streptophyta; Magnoliopsida; Brassicales; Brassicaceae.
UUUAGGAACAUAUAUCUAAUUCGAUCUAUUAGAUGCAUAUAUAUACAUAUAUGUAAAGAAUUAUAUAUAUAUGUUAUAUAUAUUAUACUUUAUAUCAGUUUUACAAUAUUUUUAUGAAUUAAAUUUAUCAUAUUACGUACUAGAAUUUAAAAUCCCUUAUAUAUUAAAAGAGAAGCAUUGUAAUAAUUGCAUUCACACUAUAAUAGACAUGUGACAGCUUCACAAUGAUUUGAUAAUAGGUAUACUA